GCGAAAUCAAAACAAAACAAAUUUGCAUUCGGAGAAGUGGAAUUAGUGCUCAAACUUUCUUAUUUAGAUUGUGAUUGUAUAGCGUAGAAUAGUAAUCGAAUGCAGGUGUUGGCAGGUUGUGGAACGCCAGAAAUAAUUAUUAAGUUAUACGUCCGCGGAGUACACGGUGGUAAAACGAUACAUAGCGAUAAAUCCGAAAGCUGAUCAGGUCGAAUCCGAUCGAUUAGCGCUGGAACGAUUCGCUAUAAGUACCACAGGGAAUGGAUUGAAAAGAUCGCAGAGGAAGGAAGACUAUUUCUUUUUGAGCUGAUCGUAAAAAGGACUGCUACAAAAAAAUAGUAAUUUCUCUGACAAUUCCGAACAAACUCAAAAAGAAAUAACGG
Aedes albopictus (Asian tiger mosquito) is the source of this 383-nucleotide long non-coding RNA. RefSeq lists it as uncharacterized. The transcript has 3 exons. NCBI's taxonomy places the organism in Eukaryota, Metazoa, Arthropoda, Insecta, Diptera, Culicidae. The record is from RefSeq and is a predicted model, not a curated record.